GAUGAACGCUGGCGGCGUGCCUAAUACAUGCAAGUCGAGCGAACGGACGAGAAGCUUGCUUCUCUGAUGUUAGCGGCGGACGGGUGAGUAACACGUGGAUAACCUACCUAUAAGACUGGGAUAACUUCGGGAAACCGUAGCUAAUACCGGAUAAUAUUUUGAACCGCAUGGUUCAAAAGUGAAAGACGGUCUUGCUGUCACUUAUAGAUGGAUCCGCGCUGCAUUAGCUAGUUGGUAAGGUAACGGCUUACCAAGGCAACGAUGCAUAGCCGACCUGAGAGCGUGAACGGCCACACUGGAACAGAGACACGGCACAGACUCCUACGCGAGGCCGCAGUAGGGAAUCUUCCGCGAUGGGCGAGAGCCUGACGGAGCAACGCCGCGUGAGUGAUGAAGGUCUUCGGAUCGUAAAACUCUGUUAUUAGGGAAGAACAUAUGUGUAAGUAACUGUGCACAUCUUGACGGUACCUAAUCAGAAAGCCACGGCUAACUACGUG
This 497-nucleotide ribosomal RNA is filed under the name uncultured bacterium. RNAcentral describes it as "partial 16S ribosomal RNA". It matches the Rfam family "Bacterial small subunit ribosomal RNA", at positions 28 to 507 of the family's 1533-position model. The record is from RNAcentral.